RNAcentral lists this ribosomal RNA (493 nucleotides) under uncultured beta proteobacterium. RNAcentral describes it as "bacterial SSU rRNA". It matches the Rfam family "Bacterial small subunit ribosomal RNA", at positions 83 to 572 of the family's 1533-position model. Lineage: Bacteria; Pseudomonadati; Pseudomonadota; Betaproteobacteria. The record is from RNAcentral.
CCCUGGCGACGAGUGGCGAACGGGUGAGUAAUACAUCGGAACAUAUCCAGUAGCGGGGGAUAACCUAUCGAAAGAUUGGCUAAUACCGCAUACGAUCUACGGAUGAAAGCAGGGGACCGCAAGGCCUUGCACUAUUGGAGUGGCCGAUGUCAGAUUAGCUAGUUGGUGGGGUAAAAGCCUACCAAGGCGACGAUCUGUAGCUGGUCUGAGAGGACGAUCAGCCACACUGGAACUGAGACACGGUCCAGACUCCUACGGGAGGCAGCAGUGGGGAAUUUUGGACAAUGGGCGCAAGCCUGAUCCAGCCAUGCCGCGUGAGUGAAGAAGGCCUUCGGGUUGUAAAGCUCUUUCGGUGAAGACGAAACGGUUAGUGUUAAUAACACUGACUAAUGACGGUACUCACAGAAGAAGCGCCGGCUAACUACGUGCCAGCAGCCGCGGUAAUACGUAGGGUGCAGGCGUUAAUCGGAAUUACUGGGCGUAAAGCGUGCGC